Molecule: ribosomal RNA, 399 nt
Filed under: Triticum aestivum (bread wheat)
Lineage: Eukaryota; Viridiplantae; Streptophyta; Magnoliopsida; Poales; Poaceae
Description: partial small subunit ribosomal RNA
Source: RNAcentral
AUGAACACUGAUGCAACCCCUAUAGCUACCCCAAAACGUUUGAAGUUCUAUAUUUGUACCAAUUUCAAACAUCUCCAAGUGAAGAUGCUUGAGUUAAGACAAACCAAGAACUUCAAAUAUUUGCCGGUGUGUCUUUGUAUGGUUAAGUAUGUUGGUUGUGUGCAUCCUAACUAUGAUGAAGUUGGGUGUGUGCUCAUCGUGUGUAUUCUCUCGAUGCUUUAUUUUGAGCCAAUAAAAUAUAUAGAAAACAAAUUUGCAGUGGGGUUUUACCCUAGUAUUUCCCUUACAGUUUGUUUGGUAACUUUUGGGAUGAGGAAUAGGAAUUUAGAUGAGGGAGUUGUAAUGGAGAUUAGACAUGAAAAGUGUAAUUUUAUUCCCAAUCCCAUGUUUGAUAUUUGA